GAAAACACUCUGGAAAGAGCGGCCAUAGAAGGUGAUAGCCCUGUAUCUGAAAGGGCCAUUUCAGUGAAGACGAGUAGGGCGGGGCACGUGAAACCCUGUCUGAACAUGGGGGGACCAUCCUCCAAGGCUAAAUACUACUGACCGACCGAUAGUGAACCAGUACCGUGAGGGAAAGGCGAAAAGAACCCCGGAGAGGGGAGUGAAAUAGAACCUGAAACCGUGUGCGUACAAGCAGUAGGAGCUCCGCAAGGAGUGACUGCGUACCUUUUGUAUAAUGGGUCAGCGACUUACUGUUCGUGGCAAGCUUAACCGUAUAGGGGAGGCGAAGGGAAACCGAGUCUGAUAAGGGCGCAUAGUCGCGGGCAGUAGACCCGAAACCGGGUGAUCUAGUCAUGCCCAGGGUGAAGGUGCGGUAACACGCACUGGAGGCCCGAACCCACUCCCGUUGCAAAGGUAGGGGAUGAGGUGUGAUUAGGAGUGAAAAGCUAAUCGAACCCGGAGAUAGCUGGUUCUCCUCGAAAGCUAUUUAGGUAGCGCCUCAUAUGUAUCCUCUCGGGGGUAGAGCACUGUUAUGGCUAGGGGGUCAUCGCGACUUACCAAACCAUUGCAAACUCCGAAUACCGAGACGGACUGUAUGGGAGACACACGGCGGGUGCUAACGUCCGUCGUGAAAAGGGAAACAACCCAGACCCACAGCUAAGGUCCCAAAUUCUCGUGCUAAGUGGAAAACCAUGUGGAAAAGGCACAGACAGCCAGGAGGUUGGCUUAGAAGC
RNAcentral lists this ribosomal RNA (773 nucleotides) under Stenotrophomonas maltophilia. RNAcentral's name for it is "bacterial LSU rRNA". It matches the Rfam family "Bacterial large subunit ribosomal RNA", at positions 333 to 1113 of the family's 2925-position model. The record is from RNAcentral. Lineage: Bacteria; Pseudomonadati; Pseudomonadota; Gammaproteobacteria; Lysobacterales; Lysobacteraceae.